CCUUUCCUUCGGGACAGUGGAGACAGGUGGUGCAUGGUUGUCGUCAGCUCGUGUCGUGAGAUGUUGGGUUAAGUCCCGCAACGAGCGCAACCCCUAUCCUUAGUAGCCAGCAGUUAAGAUGGGCACUCUAGGGAGACUGCCAGGGAUAACCUGGAGGAAGGUGGGGAUGACGUCAAAUCAUCAUGCCCCUUAUGACCUGGGCUACACACGUGCUACAAUGGCGUAAACAAAGGGAAGCGAAGUCGUGAGGGUAAGCAAAUCUCAAAAAUAACGUCUCAGUUCGGAUUGUAGUCUGCAACUCGACUACAUGAAGCUGGAAUCGCUAGUAAUCGCAGAUCAGAAUGCUGCGGUGAA
Molecule: ribosomal RNA, 354 nt
Filed under: uncultured bacterium
Lineage: Bacteria
Description: bacterial SSU rRNA
Rfam family: Bacterial small subunit ribosomal RNA
Source: RNAcentral